UGGCUCUAGCAUCGAUGAAGAACGCAGCGAAACGCGAUAAGUAAUGUGAAUUGCAGAAUUCAGUGAAUCAUCGAAUCUUUGAACGCACAUGGCGCCUCCUAGUAUCCUGGGAGGCAUGCCUGUCCGAGCGUCGUUUCAACCCUCGGUGCCCCUCUUCUGGCGGCCCGGUGUUGGGGUUCCACGCCUGGCGUGGUCCCUGAAAAUCAGCGGCGGACCCACGGCGGCCCUUCCCUUGCGUAGUAACUUAUGUCUCGCAUCGGGAGCCCCUGGGUUUCUCCAGCCGUCAAAACCCCCCACAAGCCCGCCCCCGCGCGGCACUUGGUUGACCUCGGAUCAGGUAGGAAUACCCGCUGA
Molecule: unclassified non-coding RNA, 354 nt
Filed under: uncultured fungus
Lineage: Eukaryota; Fungi
Description: partial contains 5.8S ribosomal RNA and internal transcribed spacer 2
Rfam family: 5.8S ribosomal RNA (bases 1-133)
Source: RNAcentral